CAGCGCCGGAGAGCAAAGAAACCGACAGGAAAGAAGGAGAGAAAAAGGAAAAAUAAAGACGCGGUUAUUGUUCGCGUUUGGCUUUCGGCGACGUGAAAAAAGGAGCUGCAGUGACCCUGUGACGGGUGGGGUUUUAAAUAAGGGCGUGUCGAGUGUCUCCUCCGGAUCUGUGUUCAUCUCCAGCUCGUAUUUGCUCAGUAAUCUCCGCCCAAGCUCCGGUUGACACAGCAGCAAAUUUCAAUCACAAGGGGCUUCGGAGUCAGCCGCAAAACGUAUUUGUUUAAUAAAUCCAUCAUUUUGGUCGAAAAAUAUUUGAUAAGCCGGGUUUGACCCCUGUAGGAAGGAGCAUGUAUUUACUGACGUGGCCCCCUGCUAGAGUGAAAUGAAGGUUAAGAUCUUUAAAGUGCCCUUCAAAAUGGCCCAUGCAGAUGCAAGCACAUGGGGUGCAUUUAUAAUAUGACCUAUAAAACCCUGAAAACGUGCCGGAUUAGUGGGAUGUGUGUGUUAAGCCCAGUCUAUAUGUUCG
Long non-coding RNA from Ictalurus punctatus (channel catfish), 526 nucleotides. The record is from Ensembl. NCBI's taxonomy places the organism in Eukaryota, Metazoa, Chordata, Actinopteri, Siluriformes, Ictaluridae.